CUCCAAAACAACAAAGGCUUGAUUAAUCUCCUCUUAAAAAAGCAGACUUUUAGAUGUAAUCACGGCAGGCGGCAGUUCAGAGCAGAAGCUGUGCCAAUUGCACGUGAGGUCCUGCCUCUCUGACUACUGCGACUCAUAUCCAAGGUAAGGUCCCUAAAAUACGUGCCCAACAGCAAAUAUUGUGAAUCCCUCCUCCUUUUUCCUUUCCCCUGCAUUGUUUGUAGUCCUCUGUGGC
Molecule: long non-coding RNA, 235 nt
Filed under: Ficedula albicollis (Collared flycatcher)
Lineage: Eukaryota; Metazoa; Chordata; Aves; Passeriformes; Muscicapidae
Description: lncRNA (ENSFALG00000028678.1)
Source: RNAcentral